UACCGUCGUCCAGGCCUCAUCCAUGUUGGC
RNAcentral lists this small RNA (30 nucleotides) under Bombyx mori (domestic silkworm). Its description in RNAcentral is "ovarian small RNA-20780". The record is from RNAcentral. Lineage: Eukaryota; Metazoa; Arthropoda; Insecta; Lepidoptera; Bombycidae.